ACCAAGGCAGCGACGCGUAGCGGGACUGAGAGGUUGGCCCGCCACAUCGGGACUGAGACACUGCCCGGACCUCCACGGAGGGCUGCAGUAACGAAUAUUGGGCAAUGGGCGAAAGCCUGACCCAGCAAUGCCGCGUGUAGGAAGAAGUCUUUCGGGAUGUAAACUACUGUCAGGGUGAAGAAAGGUAGCCUUCGGGCUAUUUGAUCGAUCCCAGAGGAAGGUCCGGCUAACUUCGUGCCAGCAGCCGCGGUAAUACGAAGGGACCAAGCGUUGUUCGGAAUUAUUGGGCUUAAAGAGCACGUAGGCGGAUAGGUAAGUGUUUUGUGAAAUCCCUCGGCUCAACCGAGGAACUGCUUGACAUACUGCCUAUCUUGAGGCAAGUAGGGGUGCAUGGAACUCUAGGUGGAGCGGUGAAAUGCGUAGAUAUCUAGAGGAACGCCAGUGGAGAGAUCGGUGCACUGGGCUUGUCCUGACGCUGAGGUGCGAAAGCGUGGGUAGCGAACGGGAUUAGAUACCCCGGUAGUCCACGCCGUAAACGAUGUCUACUAGGUCGUGGUGGUACUGACACCGUCGCGGCCGGAGCAAAAGUGUUAAGUAGACCGCCUGGGGAGUACGGUCGCAAGGCUAAAACUCAAAGGAAUUGACGGGGGCUCACACAAGCGGUGGAGCAUGUGGCUUAAUUCGAAACAACGCGAAGAACCUUAUCCUGGGUUUGACAUGCUUGGAUGCCCAUCUGGAAACAGAGUAGGCUGCCCUUCGGGGUGAAACUUGCACAGGUGCUGCAUGGCUGUCGUCAGCUCGUGUCGUGAGAUGUUGGGUUAAGUCCCGUAACGAGCGAAACCCUUAUCGUUAGUUGCCAGCGCGUAAUGGCGGGAACUCUAACGAGACUGCCGGUGUUAAACCGGAGGAAGGUGGGGAUGACGUCAAGUCCUCAUGGCCUUUAUGCCCAGGGCUGCACACGUGCUACAAUGGCGGCGACAAACUGAUGCAAGACCGCAAGGUGGAGCAAAUCGGAGAAACAUCGCCUCAGUUCGGAUUGCAGGCUGCAACUCGCCUGCAUGAAGUUGGAAUCGCUAGUAAUCGCGGAUCAGCAUGCCGCGGUGAAUAUGUUCCUGAGCCUUGUACACACCGCCCGUCAAGUCAUGGAAGCUGGAAGUACCUGAAGUCGGAUAGCUAACUUUUUAAGAGGCGUCUGCCGAUGGUAAGUUCGGUGACUAGGGCUAAGUCGGAACAAGGUA
This 1238-nucleotide ribosomal RNA is filed under the name metagenome. RNAcentral's name for it is "bacterial SSU rRNA". It matches the Rfam family "Bacterial small subunit ribosomal RNA", at positions 267 to 1498 of the family's 1533-position model. The record is from RNAcentral.